UACGGAGGGUGCAAGCGUUAUCCGGAUUCACUGGGUUUAAAGGGUGCGUAGGCGGGCAGGUAAGUCAGUGGUGAAAUCCUGGAGCUCAACUCCAGAACUGCCAUUGAUACUAUCUGUCUUGAAUAUUGUGGAGGUAAGCGGAAUAUGUCAUGUAGCGGUGAAAUGCUUAGAUAUGACAUAGAACACCUAUUGCGAAGGCAGCUUACUACGCAUAUAUUGACGCUGAGGCACGAAAGCGUGGGGAUCAAACAGG
RNAcentral lists this ribosomal RNA (253 nucleotides) under uncultured bacterium. RNAcentral's name for it is "partial 16S ribosomal RNA". It matches the Rfam family "Bacterial small subunit ribosomal RNA", at positions 524 to 776 of the family's 1533-position model. The record is from RNAcentral.